UAGUGCCCGACGAAGGUCGGGAUAAUCGGGAAGACGGUGCAAAUCCGUCACAGCCCCCGCUACUGUGAGUGUCAAAGGGACAAACGUCACCGCAAGGGAAGACGCCCGCCGCUUGUCUUUGACAAGAGGUCACAAGCCAGGAGACCGGCUAAGCGAA
RNAcentral lists this non-coding RNA (157 nucleotides) under bovine gut metagenome. The record is from RNAcentral.